Molecule: non-coding RNA, 179 nt
Filed under: Gammaproteobacteria bacterium
Lineage: Bacteria; Pseudomonadati; Pseudomonadota; Gammaproteobacteria
Description: 6S RNA
Rfam family: 6S / SsrS RNA
About the family: E. coli 6S RNA was the first non coding RNA to be sequenced, but its function was unknown until recently. It consists of 184 nucleotides that fold into an extended hairpin structure with a large single-stranded internal bulge.
Source: RNAcentral
AGUUCCCUGGGUUGUUUGCCAGUCGACAUGUCCUCGACCCUUAAUGCGAAACCCAGGAGGUCUUUUUUCCAGGCCAUGUGCAUGUCCGAUUUUUCGGAAAGCCUGAGGUCAGUCAGAGACCACCGCCUUGAACCGCUGGGUUCAAGGGCCUGUGAGAACAGCGGCAAUUUGGGGAACUG